This 72-nucleotide transfer RNA is filed under the name Candidatus Gottesmanbacteria bacterium. RNAcentral describes it as "tRNA-Arg". It matches the Rfam family "tRNA". Rfam says of the family: Transfer RNA (tRNA) molecules are approximately 80 nucleotides in length. Their secondary structure includes four short double-helical elements and three loops (D, anti-codon, and T loops). Lineage: Bacteria; Candidatus Gottesmaniibacteriota. The record is from RNAcentral.
GCCUCUGUAGCUCAAUGGAUAGAGCAAACCCGUCCUAAGGGUGAGAUAGGGGUUCGAUUCCCUUCAGAGGCG